This 497-nucleotide ribosomal RNA is filed under the name uncultured bacterium. RNAcentral describes it as "partial 16S ribosomal RNA". It matches the Rfam family "Bacterial small subunit ribosomal RNA", at positions 28 to 507 of the family's 1533-position model. The record is from RNAcentral.
GAUGAACGCUGGCGGCGUGCCUAAUACAUGCAAGUCGAGCGAACGGACGAGAAGCUUGCUUCUCUGAUGUUAGCGGCGGACGGGUGAGUAACACGUGGAUAACCUACCUAUAAGACUGGGAUAACUUCGGGAAACCGGAGCUAAUACCGGAUAAUAUUUUGAACCGCAUGGUUCAAAAGUGAAAGACGGUCUUGCUGUCACUUAUAGAUGGAUCCGCGCUGCAUUAGCUAGUUGGUAAGGUAACGGCUUACCAAGGCAACGAUGCAUAGCCGACCUGAGAGGGUGAUCGGCCACACUGGAACUGAGACACGGUCCAGACUCCUACGGGAGGCAGCAGUAGGGAAUCUUCCGCAAAGGGCGAAAGCCUGACGGAGCAACGCCGCGUGAGUGAUGAAGGUCUUAGGAUCGUAAAACUCUGUUAUUAGGGAAGAACAUAUGUGUAAGUAACUGUGCACAUCUUGACGGUACCUAAUCAGAAAGCCACGGCUAACUACGUG